UGCUGUUGCAAUUCGUAGAACAAUAAGACUGAGGUCUAAAAUUAAAGCUUUUUACACGUAUUCCAAUGUUUAGUUUAUAGGUGUACGCAAUUUUGGCGAGAUUACUCAGUUCUAUUGUUCUGCUUCUGUUUACAUAAUGUUCGGAUAUAUAGGAUUCAGUUUAUUAUCACGAGUCUAAUUUUAAUUGCGUGCGCUUCAACGCGACCACAGGGAAGUGAUACGGUACAGAGAGGAAACACACGGCAAAUUGUGUCACGCCGAUAUAUUCAGUCUAACUACGUAUAUAUAAAAUUAUAUUAAUU
Molecule: non-coding RNA, 302 nt
Organism: Paramuricea clavata
Lineage: Eukaryota; Metazoa; Cnidaria; Anthozoa; Malacalcyonacea; Plexauridae
Source: the annotation of a GenBank genome assembly